UGGGCUAUAGCCAAGUGGUAAGGCAUCGGGUUUUGAUCCCGAGAUGCGCUGGUUCGAACCCAGCUAGCCCAA
This 72-nucleotide transfer RNA is filed under the name Klebsiella pneumoniae. Its description in RNAcentral is "tRNA-Gln". It matches the Rfam family "tRNA". From Rfam's summary of the family: Transfer RNA (tRNA) molecules are approximately 80 nucleotides in length. Lineage: Bacteria; Pseudomonadati; Pseudomonadota; Gammaproteobacteria; Enterobacterales; Enterobacteriaceae. RNAcentral also lists the same sequence under 2 other names. The record is from RNAcentral.